GAGCUGAGGUCAGGGAGGUAAAGAAACUUUACCAUACAGCAAAUGUAUGAGAGCAGAGCUGAGGCUCACAAACAGAAGUGCCUGACUCCAAAGAACCUCAUCUUACCUACUAAGUCCUUCAUGUGAGCACACAGAGGAGAGAACCAGCAACCCCUGU
RNAcentral lists this long non-coding RNA (157 nucleotides) under Callithrix jacchus (white-tufted-ear marmoset). Its description in RNAcentral is "lncRNA (ENSCJAG00000086044.1)". Lineage: Eukaryota; Metazoa; Chordata; Mammalia; Primates; Cebidae. The record is from RNAcentral.